Molecule: ribosomal RNA, 239 nt
Filed under: uncultured bacterium
Lineage: Bacteria
Description: partial 16S ribosomal RNA
Rfam family: Bacterial small subunit ribosomal RNA
Source: RNAcentral
CCGGCGCACGGGUGAGUAACGCGUACCCAACCUGCCGUCUACUCUUGGACAGCCUUCUGAAAGGAAGAUUAAUACAAGAUGGCAUCAUGAGUCCGCAUGUUCACAUGAUUAAAGGUAUUCCGGUAGACGAUGGGGAUGCGUUCCAUUAGAUAGUAGGCGGGGUAACGGCCCACCUAGUCUUCGAUGGAUAGGGGUUCUGAGAGGAAGGUCCCCCACAUUGGAACUGAGACACGGUCCAA